This 492-nucleotide ribosomal RNA is filed under the name uncultured bacterium. Its description in RNAcentral is "partial 16S ribosomal RNA". It matches the Rfam family "Bacterial small subunit ribosomal RNA", at positions 28 to 507 of the family's 1533-position model. The record is from RNAcentral.
GAUGAACGCUAGCUACAGGCUUAACACAUGCAAGUCGAGGGGAAACGGCAUCGAAAGCUUGCUUUUGAUGGGCGUCGACCGGCGCACGGGUGAGUAACGCGUAUCCAACCUGCCCAUCACUUGGGAAUAACCUUGCGAAAGUAAGACUAAUGCCCAAUGACAUCCCACGAAGGCAUCCGAAUGGGAUUAAAGAUUUAUCGGUGAUGGAUGGGGAUGCGUCUGAUUAGCUUGUUGGCGGGGUGACGGCCCACCAAGGCAACGAUCAGUAGGGGUUCUGAGAGGAAGGUCCCCCAGAUUGGAACUGGGACACGGUCGAAACUCCUACGGGAGGCAGCAGUGAGGAAUGUUGGUGGAUGGGCGAGAGCCUGAACCAGCCAAGUAGCGUGCAGGAUGGCGGCCCUAUGGGUUGUAAACUGCUUUUAGAAGGGCAUAAAGUGGGUCACGUGUGACUUUUUGCAUGUACCUGAUGAAUAAGGACCGGCUAAUUCCGUG